RNAcentral lists this ribosomal RNA (478 nucleotides) under Streptococcus sp. oral taxon 056. RNAcentral describes it as "bacterial SSU rRNA". It matches the Rfam family "Bacterial small subunit ribosomal RNA", at positions 28 to 493 of the family's 1533-position model. Lineage: Bacteria; Bacillati; Bacillota; Bacilli; Lactobacillales; Streptococcaceae. The record is from RNAcentral.
GACGAACGCUGGCGGCGUGCCUAAUACAUGCAAGUAGAACGCUGAAGGAGGAGCUUGCUCUUCUGGAAGAGUUGCGAACGGGUGAGUAACGCGUAGGUAACCUGCCUGGUAGCGGGGGAUAACUAUUGGAAACGAUAGCUAAUACCGCAUAAAAUUGAAUAUCGCAUGAUAAUUGAUUAAAAGAUGCAAUUGCAUCACUACCAGAUGGACCUGCGUUGUAUUAGCUAGUAGGUGAGGUAACGGCUCACCUAGGCGACGAUACAUAGCCGACCUGAGAGGGUGAUCGGCCACACUGGGACUGAGACACGGCCCAGACUCCUACGGGAGGCAGCAGUAGGGAAUCUUCGGCAAUGGGGGCAACCCUGACCGAGCAACGCCGCGUGAGUGAAGAAGGUUUUCGGAUCGUAAAGCUCUGUUGUAAGAGAAGAACGAGUGUGAGAGUGGAAAGUUCACACUGGACGUAUCUACCAGAAAGGAC